AUACGUAGGGGACGAGCGUUGUCCGGAAUUACUGGGCGUAAAGGGCGCGCAGGCGGAUAUUUAAGUCAGAUGUAAAAGGCCUGAGCUCAACUCAUGUAUGCGGUUGAAACUGGGUAUCUAGAGUGCUGGAGAGGUAGGCGGAAUUCCCGGUGGAGCGGGGGAAUGGGUAGAUAUCGGGAAGAACACCCGGGGCGAAGGGGGCUUACGGGCCAGCAACAGACGCUGAGGCGCGAAAGCCAGGGGAGCGAACGGGAUUAGAUCCCCCGGUAGUCCUGGCCGUAAACGAUGAAUGCUAGGUGUGGGUGUCGAGAGGCAUCCGUGCCGGAGUUAACGCGAUAAGCAUUCCGCCUGGGGAGUACGAUCGCAAGAUUGAAACUCAAAUGAAUUGACGGGG
Molecule: ribosomal RNA, 394 nt
Filed under: uncultured bacterium
Lineage: Bacteria
Description: partial 16S ribosomal RNA
Rfam family: Bacterial small subunit ribosomal RNA
Source: RNAcentral